AUCUAGUUGGACUGCCACGUAGGA
This 24-nucleotide non-coding RNA is filed under the name Gossypium hirsutum (cotton). The record is from RNAcentral. Lineage: Eukaryota; Viridiplantae; Streptophyta; Magnoliopsida; Malvales; Malvaceae.